GGCAGACGAGUUUCCGAAUCCAGCCGCCAAGUCCACCAAAGUCCUUGAUCCCGUUGGGGUGAUCCUGGCCCCACCCGUAUGCGAAGGAACCACACCCCGGCCAGAAAAGGAACGGAGGAUACAGAUUUACCGGGCGUCUCCUGGUACUAUGGGAGCGGGGGUAUGGGGGGCGGAGGAGGGCUGCAAGCCACGGACCUCCGGCGAAGGCUCGAGUCCACGAGGUGUUCGGGAACCACGACUCGUCGUCCCCAGAGUCCUCCUCGUUCCUUAAGGUGCGAUGCUUCCCGACCAUGCCACGGAUACACCACCAAUGACCAGGAAGAAAGAGUCGAGUUGCAAGCGACUCUCGCCUCCGGUCAACCCACGUGUACAGGUUGGCGGCCGUGCAGACGACAGGACGGGAGGAAGGAGGAUGGAGAAGGGAAAGGAGGGUGGAGGUGGUGGAACGGCGGAUCCGGCGUAAUCGGUUCCGCGCGCGGGGCGAGGAUCGUCGGCACGGAUCGUCAGGAUGGGAGGAAGGAAGGAAGGAGCGGGAAGAGGCAUCGGCUUCGAUGGCGUCGAGGGGAUUUACGGUGGAUCGCGGACGUGGCAACGAGGACCCUCCUCCUCGGUAUCGUGCUUUUCGUUACGCCAGGUCUGUGCAACCAGGACGCGGUGCACAUUACGGCAAUCCUUGGGGAGAGCGUUGUCUUCAACUGUCACGUAGAGUUCCCCGGUGAGCACCCAGUGCCCUACGUUCUCCAAUGGGAGAAGAAGGUAGGAGAUGCGGGGCAGGAGAUACCGAUAUACAUAUGGUACGACUCGUAUCCGACCCACAGUGGCGAGGGUUACGAAGGUCGAGUCUCGAGGGUGAGCCCGAACUCACCUUACGGCGGGGCGAGCCUCAACCUGACCGACAUCCGCGAGAGCGAUCAAGGAUGGUACGAGUGCAAGGUCGUCUUCCUCAACAGGUCGCCCAACAAGAACGGUACCUGGUUCCACCUGGACGUCCACGUUCCAAGAGUGUCGAGGGAGGAUAAAAACGAUUGGUUGGUUUUCGUAGCGCCGCCAAAAUUUAGCAUCACGCCGGAGGAGAUGAUCUACGUGAACGUGGGCGAUGCGAUAAUAUUGAACUGCCAGGCGGAGGGCACGCCGACACCCGAGAUUCUUUGGUACAAGGACGCGAAUCCGGUCGAGCCCUCGUCAACCAUAGGAAUAUUCAACGACGGCACCGAGCUCAGGAUCUCGACCAUCAAGAGCGAGGACAUCGGGGAUUACACGUGCAUCGCUCGAAACGGAGAGGGUCAAAUCAGUCACACGGCCCGCGUCAUAAUCGCUGGUGGAGCAGUGAUCACCGUGCCGCCGAUGAACCAAACCAAAUUGGAAGGGGAAAAGGUGCAAUUUAACUGCGAGGCUAAAGCUCUUCCCGGUAACGUGACCGUACGUUGGUUCCGCGAGGGUUCACCGGUUACGGAACUCUCGGAGCUGGACACGAGAGUGACGAUCAAAUCGGACGGUAGCCUGGUGAUCAAUCCCGUGAGCGCUGACGAUUCUGGCCAAUAUCUUUGCGAAGUGACGAACGGCAUCGGUGAUCCGCAAAGCGCUAACGCUUAUUUAAACGUGGAAUAUCCGGCAAAAGUGACGUUCACUCCCACGGUGCAAUAUCUACCGUUUCGGUUGGCUGGUGUGGUACAUUGUUACAUAAAAGCGAAUCCCACCCUUCAAUACGUGACGUGGACGAAGGACAAACGAUUGCUCGAACCUUAUCAAACGAAGGAUAUCGUUGUGAUGAACAAUGGCUCCCUGCUUUUUACACGAGUCAAUGAGAAUCAUCAGGGCCGGUAUACCUGCACGCCUUAUAACGCGCACGGCACGCAAGGAAGUUCCGGACCGAUGGAGGUGCUUGUACGAAAUCCGCCUGUGUUCACUCUCGAGCCGGAGCCGAUCUAUCAGAAAAAAGUGGGCGAAACGGUGGAGAUGCACUGCGACGCUCAAGAAGCGGAAGGCACGCAGAAACCCACGAUACAGUGGCACAGGAGGGAUGGCGCGUCCAUCCAACGAAAUCGGGCCAAGACCGUCGGCGGGAAUUUAACGAUCGAAAGCCUUCGCCGCUCGGAUUUCGGCUUCUACCAAUGCGUGGCGUCCAACGAGGUUGCCACCAUAUCGGCCUCCACACAAUUGAUCGUCGAAGGCACGCAACCCCACGCUCCGUACAACGUAACCGGUACCGCGACCGAGUUUUCGGUCACGUUGACUUGGCUGCCGGGAUACUCUGGAGGGCCUGAUUAUAAACAAGACUAUACCAUCUGGUACAGAGAAUCGGGUACGUCGGAAUGGAAGAUGAUUCCGGUAACUCCGUCGGGAAGCACAACGGUGACGAUCAACAGUCUGACACCAGGAACGCUGUACGAGUUCCAAGUGAUAGGGAAGAACGCUCUGGGCGAUGGAAUGUUGAGCAAACUCAUCACCAUCAGGACUCUUGACGUGGCACUGACGCAUUCAGCGACUCCAUCCUCGAGCGCCGGCCAAGCUGCAGCCACGGAUGAAAGCGACAUCUUAGAUCAUAAUACACUCAUAUUACCGACCGAUUCCACCGGCAAUCCAGUGUUCCCGCCAAUCAUGCGUCCGAAAGGACCAAAGCCAGGUCCUCCGAAAAAUCUGACGGUGACGGAGGUCAGUAACGGUUUCCUCAUUACCUGGGAGGCCCCUGUGGAGCGUAAUCAUCUGAUUCAAUAUUACACCAUCAAGUAUAAGACGGAUGGGCCGUGGAAAACGCUGAACAAGGGACAGAUCCGAGCCGAGGAGACCAGUUAUUUGGUGAAAAAUCUGGUCGGCGGUAGGACCUAUUAUUUCCAAGUGUUCGCGAAUUCGGCGACCAACUACGGUGCCAGCGAUCAGGUGAAAUUCGCAGUCCCGGCUCGGGUGAAGCACAAGGCGAUCACCGCGGGCGUCGUCGGUGGUAUUCUUUUCUUCAUUGUCGCGAUCAUCCUGAGCAUAUGCGCGGUGAAGAUUUGCAAUAAGCGGAAAAGACGAAAACAGGAGAAAGAACUGCUUUCAGCGUAUAGUAUGGUGGCCUGCCGGGUCACCGACGCCAGGAACGGCGCAGGGCAGGGGCCCCAGGGAACAGUGCCUUUGAAAAAACCUAGAAAAAGCCGAGUACCAGGUCUAAAUCUCCUUAGGGAGAUACUGAACCCGGGCACACCGGACUCGUGCCGCGGUCGACCACUGGGUAAGAUCUCGCGGGCGGCCGACGGCCGCUUNUCCGCCUCCACCCCGACGAGGGAGGAGAGGCCGCCCGUCCACCAGAUCCACCACACGGUUCAUCAUCAGACGCCGAGGUACAGCAGGGACAACAUCGAGGCCAGGGUGCAAGCGAUGAAGGCCGAGUUCCAUCAAUUUCGACAGCGGCAAGCGAGAAGAAGGCAGAGCGCUCAUCUCGAGAGCGCGUGUUGAGAGAGAGAGAGAGAGAGAGAGAGAGCACUGUUCCAAAUGACUCGUCGUCGCAUCAUCGAAUGGGCCGCUAUCCCGGCUGUGACGAAAAUUCGUAUUCGUUCGGAGACCAACCGUUAAAAAAAAGCACAACGAGGAUCAUCGUACGCGAUUCCAGUAUAGGCAACUUCAAGUCAAUUCUAUCAGCUGGGCAACCAUCUCUAUAAAAACAAAGAAAGAAAAGAAAAAAAAAUCGAAAAAAAAAAGAGAAAAAAAAAAAAGAGAAAAGAAAAGGCUGUUAA
RNAcentral lists this unclassified non-coding RNA (3710 nucleotides) under Apis dorsata (giant honeybee). RNAcentral describes it as "protein turtle, transcript variant X9". Lineage: Eukaryota; Metazoa; Arthropoda; Insecta; Hymenoptera; Apidae. The record is from RNAcentral.